UACGUAGGGGGCAAGCGUUGUCCGGAAUCAUUGGGCGUAAAGAGCGUGUAGGCGGCCCGAUAAGUCCGCUGUGAAAGUCCAGGGCUCAACCCUGGAAUGCCGGUGGAUACUGUCGGGCUCGAAUCCGGAAGAGGUGAGUGGAAUUCCUGGUGUAGCGGUGAAUGCGCAGAUAUCAGGAGGAACACCAAUGGCGAAGGCAGCUCACUGGGACGGUAUUGACGCUGAGACGCGAAAGCGUGGGGAGCAAACAGG
Molecule: ribosomal RNA, 252 nt
Filed under: uncultured bacterium
Lineage: Bacteria
Description: partial 16S ribosomal RNA
Rfam family: Bacterial small subunit ribosomal RNA
Source: RNAcentral